Non-coding RNA from Bactrocera oleae (olive fruit fly), 1004 nucleotides. The record is from RefSeq and is a predicted model, not a curated record. Lineage: Eukaryota; Metazoa; Arthropoda; Insecta; Diptera; Tephritidae.
CAGCAAGCUUUCGGAAAAUUACAAACAUCGAAAAUUCUGAACAUUUUUCAUUCGAGUAUGGCAGAAAGCAAUCUAAAGAAAGCCAACGUUUGCUAUUGUUGUGCUCGACAUACAGCGAUACCGACGGACUUUUAAUACGAAACACAAUUUCUAUCGAUCUUAUUAUCGGUUCUAAAAGAGAUUUGAUUCAAAAAAUUGUUCUUGCCAUUUGCCUAAUACUUCUUUUGUGCGGUUUGUGUUUGAAAUUCAAAGCUAUGAUAAAACCUCUCAUAUUAACAAAAGCGGAUAGUUUCAUUUAUUCGAUGCACAAGCAAUGCACGGACAAUCAGAAUCUGUAUACAGUUUAUUGACAGACAAUCAUUGGAUAAUCAGUUUAUCUCAAUGGGAUACCAUUGAUGAAACUGAAAUUAUUGACGAUUGCAAGGACACUUGCACCAUUUUGGAUCGGGAAUGUAUAAAAAAAGUGCUUGAAUUUGAAAAAGGUUAUCCAAAAAAAAUGUUUGUGAAUAUGAAGCAUUAAACCAAUCGUGGCCAGAUCUCAUCAUUGGCAAGCGUAUGGCAUAUAAGUAAGCAAGAAAGAGAAACCUCAUAUUAGAUAUAUCCCACAUAUAAUUUAAUUUUUCGGAAAUUUUAAAUUAAGACUGCGACUACAGAUAGUAGUACAUUAUUUUGUAGUAUCCUUAUUUGGAAUAAAAUCACAUUAUGAUAAGCGUAAAAUGUUAGCUAAGAUAGUCAAUAUCCGUAUAUUCGAGUAUAUGUUGGUACCGAUAAAAUCUGGAUAUCAAUCUGAUUGAUACCGGCAUUUUCGGAUAUUAUUUUCUACAAUUUUCAAACUCUUGGACUUAUAAUUAAGGAUGAAACCAAUUAAACUACCCAUUUUCUGUGUUCCUUUUUAUUUGUUCAUAAAGAUCUUAGGCAACUGUGAACAAAUUGUACCAUUGACAUGUUGUAACUCUCAUAUGAAAUUGCUCCAUUAUGGGGAUAUUAUCAUAUCUAAUUCAUUC